GUCCCCGUAGCUCAGCAGGAUAAAGCAUCAGAUUCCUAAUCUGAGGGUCACAGGUUCGAAUCCUGUCGGGGACACCA
RNAcentral lists this transfer RNA (77 nucleotides) under Pseudomonadota bacterium. Its description in RNAcentral is "tRNA-Arg". It matches the Rfam family "tRNA". Rfam says of the family: Transfer RNA (tRNA) molecules are approximately 80 nucleotides in length. Their secondary structure includes four short double-helical elements and three loops (D, anti-codon, and T loops). The record is from RNAcentral. Lineage: Bacteria; Pseudomonadati; Pseudomonadota.